AGUGAACGCUGGCGGUAGGCCUAACACAUGCAAGUCGAACGGCAGCACAGUAAGAGCUUGCUCUUACGGGUGGCGAGUGGCGGACGGGUGAGGAAUACAUCGGAAUCUACUUUUUCGUGGGGGAUAACGUAGGGAAACUUACGCUAAUACCGCAUACGACCUACGGGUGAAAGCAGGGGAUCUUCGGACCUUGCGCGAUUGAAUGAGCCGAUGUCGGAUUAGCUAGUUGGCGGGGUAAAGGCCCACCAAGGCGACGAUCCGUAGCUGGUCUGAGAGGAUGAGCAGGCACACUGGAACUGAGACACGGACAAGACGCCAACGCGAGGGCGCAGGGGGGAAUAGUGGAGAAUGGGCGGAAGCCUGAUCCAGCCAUUGCGGGGGGGAGGAAAAGGCCUGCGUUUUGUAAAUCCUGUUCUGCGGGAAAGAAAAGCAGCAGGUUAAUAGCCCGCCGUGCUGGCGGUACCCAAAGAAUAAGCAACGGCUAACUUCGUG
This 492-nucleotide ribosomal RNA is filed under the name uncultured bacterium. RNAcentral describes it as "partial 16S ribosomal RNA". It matches the Rfam family "Bacterial small subunit ribosomal RNA", at positions 29 to 507 of the family's 1533-position model. The record is from RNAcentral.